This 284-nucleotide long non-coding RNA is filed under the name Salvia miltiorrhiza (redroot sage). RNAcentral's name for it is "long non-coding RNA (SMIL_LNC013462)". Lineage: Eukaryota; Viridiplantae; Streptophyta; Magnoliopsida; Lamiales; Lamiaceae. The record is from RNAcentral.
ACUUUUAAUUAAUUUACAUGUUCUAUUUAAUUUUCUUGUUGAAAUAUUUUGAGUCACUUAUAAUGGGACAGAGGAAAAAAAAAAAAAAAAAGAAACUCUAUUGACCAAACGGGCUUCAAAUGUGAAACUCUCUAUAUGGGUCCAUUUAGUUUAGUUAUGGCCCAAAGAAUAUCAACUAGAGAUUGCUUUCAGUUCCGAAAAGGCCCAAAACUUACUGAAAGCCCAGCCCACUAACCUUGGAAGCAAAAGUCAGGAGGAAGAUCAGAGCCGUUGAUAUCCAGCUC